GGCGAACGGAUGAGUAACACGUGGGCAAUCUGCCCUGCACUCUGGGACAAGCCCUGGAAACGGGGUCUAAUACCGGAUACUGAUCAUCUUGGGCAUCCAAGGUGUUCGAAAGCUCCGGCGGUGCAGGAUGAGCCCGCGGCCUAUCAGCUUGUUGGUGAGGUAAUGGCUCACCAAGGCGACGACGGGUAGCCGGCCUGAGAGGGCGACCGGCCACACUGGGACUGAGACACGGCCCAGACUCCUACGGGAGGCAGCAGUGGGGAAUAUUGCACAAUGGGCGAAAGCCUGAUGCAGCGACGCCGCGUGAGGGAUGACGGCCUUCGGGUUGUAAACCUCUUUCAGCAGGGAAGAAGCGAAAGUGACGGUACCUGCAGAAGAAGCGCCGGCUAACUACGUGCCAGCAGCCGCGGUAAUACGUAGGGCGCGAGCGUUGUCCGGAAUUAUUGGGCGUAAAGAGCUCGUAGGCGGCUUGUCGCGUCGGUUGUGAAAGCCCGGGGCUUAGCCCCGGGUCUGCAGUCGAUACGGGCAGGCUAGAGUUCGGUAGGGGAGAUCGGAAUUCCUGGUGUAGCGGUGAAAUGCGCAGAUAUCAGGAGGAACACCGGUGGCGAAGGCGGAUCUCUGGGCCGAUACUGACGCUGAGGAGCGAAAGCGUGGGGAGCGAACAGGAUUAGAUACCCUGGUAGUCCACGCCGUAAACGGUGGGCACUAGGUGUGGGCAACAUUCCACGUUGUCCGUGCCGCAGCUAACGCAUUAAGUGCCCCGCCUGGGGAGUACGGCCGCAAGGCUAAAACUCAAAGGAAUUGACGG
This 808-nucleotide ribosomal RNA is filed under the name uncultured bacterium. RNAcentral's name for it is "bacterial SSU rRNA". It matches the Rfam family "Bacterial small subunit ribosomal RNA", at positions 97 to 916 of the family's 1533-position model. The record is from RNAcentral.